GUAAUGAGGAUAAUUACAAACCUUACCGAAAGCAAUUGGAGGGCAAGUCUGGUGCCAGCAGCCGCGGUAAUUCCAGCUACCAAAAGCGUAUAUUAAGUUGUUGCAAGUUAAAAAGCUCGUAGUUGAAGUUCUGGCUGUAUUGGGCCUCUGCACUCGAUGCGGAGGAACCAGCAGUCAUCCGCUUGACAAAUACAUGUCCUUCCUUAACCGGUAGGCUGUAUAAGUAAGCUACUUUACCUUGAGAAAAACAGAGUGUUCCAGGCAGGUUUGUCCGGAAUGCGUUAGCAUGGAAUAAUAGAAUAUGACUGAAGUCGAUUUAUUGGUUAAAGGCUUUAGUAAUGAUUAAUAGGAACAAUCGGGGGCAUUGGUACUUGUCAGUCAGAGGUGAAAUUCUAGGAUUUGACAAAGACUAACUGAUGCGAAAGCGUUUGCCAAGAAUGUUUUCAUUAAUCAAGAACGAAAGUUAGGGGGAUCAAAGACGAUCAGAUACCGU
Molecule: ribosomal RNA, 493 nt
Filed under: uncultured eukaryote
Lineage: Eukaryota
Description: SSU rRNA
Rfam family: Eukaryotic small subunit ribosomal RNA
Source: RNAcentral